RNAcentral lists this transfer RNA (72 nucleotides) under Bacillus thuringiensis. Its description in RNAcentral is "tRNA-Val". The record is from RNAcentral. Lineage: Bacteria; Bacillati; Bacillota; Bacilli; Caryophanales; Bacillaceae.
GAAGACUAAAUUCUCUAAAAGACCGCCACCUUGACAGGGUGGCGGUCGCUGGUUCGAGACCAGUCGGGAUCA